RNAcentral lists this ribosomal RNA (588 nucleotides) under Escherichia coli. RNAcentral's name for it is "partial 23S ribosomal RNA". It matches the Rfam family "Bacterial large subunit ribosomal RNA", at positions 2152 to 2739 of the family's 2925-position model. The record is from RNAcentral. Lineage: Bacteria; Pseudomonadati; Pseudomonadota; Gammaproteobacteria; Enterobacterales; Enterobacteriaceae.
AGGCUUUGAAGUGUGGACGCCAGUCUGCAUGGAGCCGACCUUGAAAUACCACCCUUUAAUGUUUGAUGUUCUAACGUUGACCCGUGAUCCGGGUUGCGGACAGUGUCUGGUGGGUAGUUUGACUGGGGCGGUCUCCUCCUAAAGAGUAACGGAGGAGCACGAAGGUUGGCUAAUCCUGGUCGGACAUCAGGAGGUUAGUGCAAUGGCAUAAGCCAGCUUGACUGCGAGCGUGACGGCGCGAGCAGGUGCGAAAGCAGGUCAUAGUGAUCCGGUGGUUCUGAAUGGAAGGGCCAUCGCUCAACGGAUAAAAGGUACUCCGGGGAUAACAGGCUGAUACCGCCCAAGAGUUCAUAUCGACGGCGGUGUUUGGCACCUCGAUGUCGGCUCAUCACAUCCUGGGGCUGAAGUAGGUCCCAAGGGUAUGGCUGUUCGCCAUUUAAAGUGGUACGCGAGCUGGGUUUAGAACGUCGUGAGACAGUUCGGUCCCUAUCUGCCGUGGGCGCUGGAGAACUGAGGGGGGCUGCUCCUAGUACGAGAGGACCGGAGUGGACGCAUCACUGGUGUUCGGGUUGUCAUGCCAAUGGCACU